GCUUACAGCCAUAUCAGCCUGGGUACGCCCGAUCUCGUCUGAUCUCGGAAGCUAAGCAGGGUCGGGCCUGGUUAGUACUUUGAUGGGAGACUGCCUGGGAAUACCAGGUGCUGUAAGCA
RNAcentral lists this ribosomal RNA (119 nucleotides) under Salmo salar (Atlantic salmon). Lineage: Eukaryota; Metazoa; Chordata; Actinopteri; Salmoniformes; Salmonidae. The record is from RNAcentral.